GCAUUGAUUGGUUUAUGCACGUAUCUAGUCCACAUUAUAAUACCAACACAUCAAUUGUUGGAUCGUUGGCGCUAAUCAUUAAUUUCAAAAAUUCGAGCCGUUAGAAAUAUGCAACCCAUUCACUUAAGACGUAUAGAUACAAUACUUAUGGAUCUCGAUUGUGACCCGGCCUAAUCGGCCUCGUGUCACUUAGAAUAUGACUCAGUCUAAUCCAACCUCACGCUAUUUCGAAUAUGAUUCGGCUCAAUCCAGCCUCUUGCCGUAGGGCAGAAUGCUAGCAUAUUUAAGCCAACAUCAGAAACCUGCAAAAACCAUUUAUUAUAGUAGAUCCAAA
Molecule: long non-coding RNA, 334 nt
Filed under: Ananas comosus (pineapple)
Lineage: Eukaryota; Viridiplantae; Streptophyta; Magnoliopsida; Poales; Bromeliaceae
Description: long non-coding RNA (ACOM_LNC041678)
Source: RNAcentral